AAUGGGCGGAAGCCUGAUCCAGCAACGCCGCGUGAGGGAUGACUGCCUUCGGGUUGUAAACCUCUUUCAGUACCGACGAAGCGAAAGUGACGGUAGGUACAGAAGAAGCACCGGCCAACUACGUGCCAGCAGCCGCGGUAAUACGUAGGGUGCGAGCGUUGUCCGGAAUUAUUGGGCGUAAAGGGCUCGUAGGCGGUUUGUCGCGUCGGGAGUGAAAACCUCAUGCUUAACAUGUGGCUUGCUUUCGAUACGGGCAGACUAGAGGUAUGCAGGGGAGAACGGAAUUCCUGGUGUAGCGGUGAAAUGCGCAGAUAUCAGGAGGAACACCGGUGGCGAAGGCGGUUCUCUGGGCAUUACCUGACGCUGAGGAGCGAAAGUGUGGGGAGCGAA
RNAcentral lists this ribosomal RNA (390 nucleotides) under uncultured bacterium. Its description in RNAcentral is "bacterial SSU rRNA". It matches the Rfam family "Bacterial small subunit ribosomal RNA", at positions 370 to 772 of the family's 1533-position model. The record is from RNAcentral.